This 466-nucleotide ribosomal RNA is filed under the name uncultured bacterium. RNAcentral describes it as "partial 16S ribosomal RNA". It matches the Rfam family "Bacterial small subunit ribosomal RNA", at positions 339 to 795 of the family's 1533-position model. The record is from RNAcentral.
CUACGGGCGGCUCCAGUGGGGAAUAUUGCGCAAUGGGCGAAAGCCUGACGCAGCAACGCCGCGUGAGUGAUGAAGGCCCUCGGGUCGUAAAACUCUGUCAGAGGGGACGAAACCUUGCCGGGAACAAUACCCCGGUGAUUUGACGGUACCCUCAAAGGAAGCACCGGCUAACUCCGUGCCAGCAGCCGCGGUAAGACGGAGGGUGCAAGCGUUGUUCGGAAUUAUUGGGCGUAAAGCGCGUGUAGGCGGUACGAGAAGUCGGGUGUGAAAGCCCCAGGCUCAACCUGGGAAUUGCGCCCGAAACCAUCGAACUAGAGUACAGGAGGGGAGCGUGGAAUUCCCAGUGUAGCAGUGAAAUGCGUAGAUAUUGGGAGGAACACCGGUGGCGAAAGCGACGCUCUGGCCUGAAACUGACGCUAAGACGCGAAAGCGUGGGGAGCAAACAGGAUUAGAUACCCGGGUAGUC